GUUAGCCAGGCUGGUCUCAAACUUCUGACCUCAAGUGAUCCGCCCACCUCGGCCUCCCAAAGUGCUGGGAUUACAGCUGUGAGCCACAAUGUCUGGCUAGACGACUGAAGAUCUUGAAUGAAAAAUAAUUCUAAUUUUUGUUUAUUCACCCUGCAUCUUAGCAGGUAUAGUGUAAAAGUUAGGAGCAAAAACUCUAGAGCCAAACUCCCUGAUUUUGAUUUCUCUCUCUUUCAUGUGUCCAGUGACCUUGGGCAAGUUACUUAACCUCCCUGUACUUCAGUUUUGUCACCUGUUAAAUGAAGGAUAAUGAGAUAGGUAACAGAAACAUGCAAAGAUGUAUAUCAACAGCACAUGAGUAGCACCUUGUUUGGAAGGCAAGUUUCCCCCAGAUUGCAUGGGUCACACAUUUGGCUCAGGACAGCGUACAAGUCUGUUUUAGAAAACAUACACACACAAAAGAAAGGAAAAAGGGGAAAUACUUGUGCCCUGCAAUUCUCCUCUUGACAGCUGAAGAAUGGGGCUUGACUUUCUGGGAAUAGCUUGUUUCCAAAAAAAAAAAAAAGAAUGUAAUUUAAAAAGGUAACUAUAUCUGACUUUGCUCAUUUUAAUGAAAUUCAAGCUAAUUCAUUUUUAUCAAUCACUAAAUAAUUAGUAACUUUAUUAACUACUAGUAAUACUAGUCAUAACCUCAUAGUAUUUGUAAAGUUUAAAAAAGGAAUCUAAAGGGAAAAAAAGUUUAGUCUUUGUAAGGUUGACAAAUCUGUAAACAAAUCUUAUAAAGAUAGCACACUUCAAUUUGUAAAAUCAUUUUGUCACUACUGCAAAAAUUAAAAUGUAGUGAAAAUUUGAAGUUGUAGAAUGAUAAAUGUAUGAGUUAGAAUGUUUGGGCUUACCUUUUUAUUACAAGUAUUAAAAAAAACCUUUUGAGAUUAGACACUACAUGAAAAUAGUAUUUGUUUUCUAUGGAAUACUUUUUUAGCUCUCUUUAGGAUAUUAAGGAAGCAUCUGUGAUAUCCCAGCAAAGAAUACCUUUUUUGGCUGGGCACGGUGGCUCACUCCUGUAAUCCCAGCACUUUGGGAGGCGAAAGCAGGCAGAUCACCUGAGCUCAGGAGGUUGAGACCAGCCUGGCUAAC
Molecule: long non-coding RNA, 1134 nt
Organism: Piliocolobus tephrosceles (Ugandan red Colobus)
Lineage: Eukaryota; Metazoa; Chordata; Mammalia; Primates; Cercopithecidae
Exons: 3
Source: RefSeq, a predicted model, not a curated record